UACAGAGGGGGCAAGCGUUGCUCGGAAUCACUGGGCGUAAAGGGUGCGUAGGCGGCCGCGCAAGUCUGGCGUGAAAGCCCCGGGCUCAGCCCGGGAAGGGCGCUCGAAACGGCGCGGCUCGAGUGCCGGAGGGGAGAGUGGAAUUCCUGGUGUAGCGGUGAAAUGCGUAGAUAUCGCUUGGAACGCCAAUGGUGAAAACAGGUUGCUGGGAGUGUGCUGACACUGAGACACGAAAGCCAGGGGAGCGAACGGG
RNAcentral lists this ribosomal RNA (253 nucleotides) under uncultured bacterium. Its description in RNAcentral is "partial 16S ribosomal RNA". It matches the Rfam family "Bacterial small subunit ribosomal RNA", at positions 524 to 776 of the family's 1533-position model. The record is from RNAcentral.